Molecule: long non-coding RNA, 1464 nt
Organism: Anthonomus grandis grandis
Lineage: Eukaryota; Metazoa; Arthropoda; Insecta; Coleoptera; Curculionidae
Exons: 2
Source: RefSeq, a predicted model, not a curated record
AUCCCAGGAAAUAGAAGGUUGGUGUUUUUGUUUUUUAAACUUUAGUAAAUCGAUAUUUAGCUAAUCCUAACCUAACUUUUAGAAACAAGUUCAGAUGGUCAAAGUGAGCCCUCGGAAUUUGAAGACAAUGGAAGCUCUGAUGAUUACCAGAUUCAAUUUCACAGUCAGAACCCGAGAGUGAUUCUAGUAAUACUAUUGAUAACAAUGUUUUUCAAAAAUCUUUGUUAGAAGGAAGCGUAAAAAAAAUCAAGAAAGCGUAUGAGAAACGAGAGUGAAUGGAAAAAAAAACAUACGUAAAUAUUUUCGAGCUAGUGGCUGUUGCUGUAAAUUAGAAUGGUGUAAGACUGUAAGUAAAUCAUUCCAGAAAUUCAAACGGAAAUCUAUAAUAAAUUUUAUGAACUAGCUAAUUUCGACUUACAGACCGGAUACAUAUUUUCACAAGUUAAAGUUAAGCCAGUGGCUCGUCAUUAUGCCACAAAUAAUGCUACUCCUACUAAUAAAUCAAAACAUAUGACGAGAGAAUAUUAUUUACCUAACAGUCAAGGAAGUGACGUUAAAAUAUGUAAAAACUUGUUUAAACUAAUUCUAAUGGUGUCAGACGGUAAACUUGGUAGAACCCUUAAGAAAAAAAAUAAAUUAAUGCUACCACAGGAUUAACGAGGCCGACACCCUCCUACAAACAAAACACCCAUAGAAAAAAUUGAUGAUGUUUGUGACUUCAUUAGAACCUUUCUAACCUAUAUUUCCCAUUACUCAAGGCAUAAGACGGACAGGAAGUACCUUUGUCCCGACAUGAAUAUUAGAAUUCUUUAUACUGAGUAUAAGAAAAAAGCAGCUAAUCCUGUGUCAGAAUCUGUUCCGUGAUGUAUUUAACAGUAAGUUUGAUCUUCAUUUUCACCCACCUAUUGUAGACUCCUGCAAGAAAUGUGACGCUUUAAAAAAUAAAUUAAAAUAUGAAGUGAAUAAAGAAAAGAAAAAGGAACUAAAUUUUCAACUAGAACUUCACCAACGAAAAGCCCAACAACUACGCGAUGCCAUGAGUCUAGAUGCCCAAAUGUCACAGGAGGAAGUUACAGUUAUAGCCUUCGAUCUGAUGAAAACAUUGCCUACGCCCGUCAUCUCUACAGGUAUAACCUAUUAUAAAAGGCAAUUAUGGACAUACUGUCUUGGAGUACACAAUUUGCAGAGCAAUGAAGCCACGAUGUUUGUAUGGGAUGAAUCAUUAGCAUCUCGAGGAUCACAAGAAAUUGGAUCAUGUCUUAUGUAUUAUUUUAAACAUAAUGUAACGACCAAAAAAAUUUUAUUAUAUUCUGACGGCUGUGGAGGUCAGAACAGAAACAUUAAAAUGGCUUUAAUUUGCCAUUAUGUUGUUCAAUCUCAGGAAUUUACGGUAGAAGAAAUUCAGCAUAACUUUUUGGUUAGCGGUCAUUCCUUUUUAGUUUGCGACAGAGACUUUGGUGUAAU